Molecule: long non-coding RNA, 208 nt
Filed under: Carica papaya (papaya)
Lineage: Eukaryota; Viridiplantae; Streptophyta; Magnoliopsida; Brassicales; Caricaceae
Description: long non-coding RNA (CPAP_LNC015583)
Source: RNAcentral
GAGUCGCAUACUUUCAUACAUCUUGGUGCUUCUGGGAUGCAUGACAAACUUUGAGGUAUGGGCCUCGGUCAUGAUGUCCCUUUUUCAACUUACUGUCACCUGAAACACACAUCCUGUCCUGAAAUCUAAGCAACCAAUCGGCAGAUACUCGAAAUUAUGGACUAACUCCCUAUUCUGCAUCUUUCUUGAGGGCUGCUAGGGUGGAAUC